Pelodiscus sinensis (Chinese soft-shelled turtle) is the source of this 1179-nucleotide long non-coding RNA. RefSeq lists it as uncharacterized. The record is from RefSeq and is a predicted model, not a curated record. NCBI's taxonomy places the organism in Eukaryota, Metazoa, Chordata, Testudines, Trionychidae.
UAACAAUGCACCCGGGGCCCAUGCCCUCUGAAAUCAAUGACUCUGUUGCCCUUGACUCCAGAGGGACGGCAGGAUCGGGCCCUUCGGGGCUGUUUCUCUCUAGACUUACACCCCUCCCAGGGGUUCGAUACAGUUUGCAGCACUGAUCCAAACCAAGUUUCCAUUCAUCUUCCGGAUCCAAGAUCGUUUCUUUGCGGGAAAAAAAAAUUACAACAUUGUGACACGUCAGCAGCAUGGUGUGGCCGCGCGUGCUCCAAAGCGAGACACCGGCAUGUUCGUGAGGAUGAUUUUGGCUGCAUAGGUGCUGUCGAAAAGUCACGCAGAAAAAGUGACUCUGGGGUUUAAAGGUGGCAGCCCACACAAGCCAAAGGGUGCAGGGACUGGUGAGCAGAGGCUGCCCCUAGGAUGCUCAGUGAGAAAGAGGGGUCCCUGCUGGUGAUGCCUGUAUAACAACGAAGCCCCUUGCUGAACCCUGAGUCCGAGGAAGGGGAGUGGACGAGGCGCUGAAUCCAAACAAAAGGGCGAGUGAUUCGGCUGCGCUAGUUACAUUGUUCCAGCCGAAGGGACAAAAAAUUAGCAGAAAAGGAAUGGCAUAACAAUCACACGGGUCUGAGAUAGCAGAUGAUCGAGUUGGUGAAAAGAAGAACGAGACGCCUCAGCUCCCUCAUCUGUCUGUCUGUCUGUCUGCAUCAUUUGCACCUGGAGUAAAACUCCAGGGCCUCCACAUAAGCAUUACAAAGAAAAUAUAAAUGGGAAAUCAAGGGACAGGGCUCUGUGUUUGCUGUCUAACUAUCGUGAUUUAUCCAGGUAGCACACAGUUUAUGGUCAAUAAAUUAUAUUAGCAACCAACAUCCAGAUCAGCUCUCCUGGCCUGAUCAUCAAAACAAGCAGCUAGAAACCGGAACGGCUUUUCCAACAUCUUCUGACCCCAGUUCCCUGAUGGAGGGGUGGUUCGACCUUCCACUGCACCCCACCCUUGUGAAUGGCGCCUACACGCUGUCUUUUCCCUUUGCGAUCAUGCUGGGCUUUGAGUUUUAUUUCCUUCUUAGCCAGAGGAAAUGUGACAACUUUAAACAUUAAGGGCUGGGAGCGGCAGCCACUUAAUCCAGUAGUAAAUUUGACUCCCAAUGUGGUUUCACGAAUCGAAAAAUUCUCAUCCGCCUGAUUGGAGCUAGUGAU